This is a long non-coding RNA of Gallus gallus (chicken), 1485 nucleotides long. RefSeq annotates it as basic helix-loop-helix and HMG-box containing 1. The record is from RefSeq and is a predicted model, not a curated record. NCBI's taxonomy places the organism in Eukaryota, Metazoa, Chordata, Aves, Galliformes, Phasianidae. The transcript has 9 exons.
UGGUGGCAGAUGCGGCGGCCGAAGGGCAGCGCUGCCCCCCCCCCCGAAGGGACCCGGAGCCGCCGCCCCCCCCGCCACCAUUGGCCCUCUGUGCUGCGGGAUCUGGCCCAGAUGGUUCCAUGGCCCCACACCGCGGGGGGGCCCCGCACUCAGGGUCAGGUGCUGCACAACGUCCUGGGCUACAUCCGGCAUCUGCAGAGCAGCCUCAGUGCCGCCAGGGGGGGGGCAGCCCCCCCCACCGUCACCACCGAUGUGGGGCCGAGCUCCGGGACCCCAGUAGGGCAGCUCCUGGUGCCCUAUGAGGAAGAGGAAGAGGAGGAGGAAGCACGUGGGGGGGGGCCGUGGUUGAACCCUAUAGGGUGGGACCCCCUCAGCCCCACAGCGCCUCAAUGGGGCCUGGGGGGGGCAUCCCCAAUGUCCCCCCCCCAACGACGAAAGGGGAUUUUAGGGCUCAGUCCUUCUUUAUUGGCCUCCCCGGCCCCCCCGGGCCCCCCCGAGGACGUGGCACGAGCACUGUUUGCAGAGGUCUGUCUGAGCCCACAGCCCCCCGCGGUGUCCCCAAGGGGGGGGGCGGCAGUGAGGGGUCGGAGGGGGCAGCAGCAGCGCGGACCCCCCCGCGAGAAGAAGAAAUGCGUCAACGGCUUCAUCAUGUUCUGCCGCCUCAAUAGGAGAGCCUACAUCCGCGCUCACCCGGGGACGGCAUCGACCGCGGCCACCAGAGAGCUGGCACAGAUAUGGCACCGCCUGAGCACGGCCGAGCGCCGGCCCUACUGUCUGUGCGCACGCCGCUACAGCCGUCUGCACAACCGCGUGCUGCGCCCGGCGCGGGACGGCGAUGGUGACAACGGUGACAACGGUGACAGUGGUGACCACAGUGCCGGCCCUGCCCUCCCCACACUGCUGUUGGCCGGGAUGGCACCGCCAUGAUGGCCCCAUAUCCCAAUGGCCCCAUAUCCCAUUGUCCCCAUCCCAAUGGCCCCAUAUCCCAAUGGCCCCAUAUCCCAUUGUCCCCAUAUCCCAUUGUCCCCAUCCCAUAUCCCGGUGUCCCCACAUCCCAUUGUCCGAUAUCCCAAUGUCCCCAUCCCAUAUCCCAAUGUCCCCAUCCCAAUGUCACCAUAUCCCAAUGGCCCCACAUCCCAAUGGCCCCAUAUCCCACUGUCCCCAUCCCAUAUCCCAGUGUCCACAUCCCAUAUCCCGGUGUCCCCAUAUCCCAUUGUCCCCAUCCCAAUGACCCCAUAUCCCAGUGGCCCCAUAUCCCAUUGUCCCCAUCCCAGUGUCCCCAUGUCCCCAUAUCCAAAUGUCCCCAUCCCAAUGUCCCCACCCCAUAUCCCCAAAGGGGACCCUUUGGGACACAGCUCUUAAAGGUGCCUUUGGGGACACAUUUUGGGGACAUUUGGGGACACUUUGGGGACCCCCCCUCCCAUUUUGUCCCCAUCAUUAAUUAUCCCCACCAUUAAUUAAUUGUCACCAUCAUUCAUUCAUUAA